UUACGGUAAGAGAUGAGUAUGCCGUCCUAUUAGCUUAGUUGGUAAGGUAACGGCUUAACCGAAGGACAACGAUAGGGUACGGGGCCCUGAGAGGGGGAUCCCCCCACACUGGUACUGAGACACGGACCAGACUCCUACGGGAGGCAGCAGUGAGGAAUAUUGGACAAUGGGCGCAAGCCUGAUCCAGCCAUGCCGCGUGCAGGAAGACGGCCCUAUGGAUUGUAAACUGCUUUUGUACGGGAAGAAACACCACUACGCGUAGUGGCUUGACGGUACCGUAAGAAUAAGGAUCGGCUAACUCCGUG
Molecule: ribosomal RNA, 305 nt
Filed under: uncultured bacterium
Lineage: Bacteria
Description: bacterial SSU rRNA
Rfam family: Bacterial small subunit ribosomal RNA
Source: RNAcentral